Neoarius graeffei (lesser salmon catfish) is the source of this 640-nucleotide long non-coding RNA. RefSeq lists it as uncharacterized. The transcript is spliced from 3 exons. NCBI's taxonomy places the organism in Eukaryota, Metazoa, Chordata, Actinopteri, Siluriformes, Ariidae. The record is from RefSeq and is a predicted model, not a curated record.
CAUCGUUGAGCACCUCAGUCCUCUGAUGUGUUUGGCUGAGCUGGAUGGCAGGCUGGCUGCAGUCAGGGGAGAGAGGACAAACGAUCAGGUGUGGGUCCAGAGCCAGAAGAGUGGAGUGAUGGGGCAGGGCCUCCAGUGCUGGUUUCAGCAGGAGGAGGCAUCCAGGGCCGGGGGUGGAGUGGAGUAUUGAGGAGUGAAUAUGUGCCGUAUAAGUCUAUCCUUGAAUAUUCAUCCAUCUGGUAGAACUUCAUGACACGUUCUCUAACUUCAGCUGACAGUGGUUUUCCCUUGUUCACAUGCGGCUCACCAAGUAUUCCCUGUUGUUCUCUAACAGUCUUUGCUUUCCUCACCAUAUGAGUAGUGACAGAAAAUUCUUUAGCUACCUUUCUGAUACUCCAUGUAGCUGGGAGAAGUGUGAGGAUCUUGAUCUUUUCUUUUUUUGAUGCCACUUUACACUUCUCUUUCAGUAACUUUAGUAAUUCCUCCCACUCCUCACAUGUCUGGCAGUUAUCUGAACUCGAUGAAAGAAGUUCAUCAGUUGGCACAUCAGCCAAUCUGGCUGCCUUGGUCUGUGUGGCAUGAUGCAAGUCUUUAAUCUUCCGUUUCCAGUAUCCCUUUUUAUCGCGUGAAGAUGUAUAUU